RNAcentral lists this long non-coding RNA (341 nucleotides) under Ananas comosus (pineapple). RNAcentral's name for it is "long non-coding RNA (ACOM_LNC042045)". The record is from RNAcentral. Lineage: Eukaryota; Viridiplantae; Streptophyta; Magnoliopsida; Poales; Bromeliaceae.
UUCAGUAGUAUAGGGUUUAUUGACCUAUGUUCGUUUUUGUGCUGCAGCUUAAGAUGCCGUUGACUCGUUCGCAAGCCGCCGGGGCAGCUGAGGCGGCGGAUGCAGAGGAAGUGGGGACUUCUGCUACUUCAGGAUCUAGUGGGAUCCAUGAGUUGCAGGAUCAGCUCGCGAAGCUGACAAAUUUGGUUGCUCAGCAGGCUGCGGCCGCGCGACAGCAGAUGGAUGUAGCGCGUCGGCAGGAGGACAGGAUGAAGAGGUUAGAGGAUUUAUUACUGCGACAGACGACUGACAGGGGGAUUCCGGAUCCUAUACCUACAGUACCGGGCAGGGAUGCGACAGUG